GUGACAGUUUGCACGUCUGUUCUAGAGUCUGGGUUCCCACUGUGGGAGAAAAGAUACCCACGACCUCCAGAUUCCCCCUUUUCUUGGCAAUAGCAGUGUUGCAAAACUCUGAAAAAGCCACCCCUUCUUUUACCACCUUGGCUGGGAAACAAAGAGGCUCUGCACAUCCCCCUGCUCUUCUUGCUCCCUUUUCCUGCCUUCCCCAGCCCACUCAUGCACAGCUGCCCCUCAACCUCUGGCCUCCCCGCCUGGAGGUUGUUUGUGACAUCAUCCUGGAGUGAAAUCUGACCAGAAUCCUACUCCAGAGUGAGAGAGUAGCCGUCAGGCCUGGGAAGGAGGGAGGGUCUCAACCCAGGAGAACUCCAGUGGCUAAGAUGGCUGGGCCCUCUCUCCUGCUCAGGCCAGGUGCUGUGUGCAGAGCAAGAGCUUCUGAGAAGGGGAGUGGAUGGAGCUUGCCCGGCAAAGCCAGAAUGAUUUAGUGCAGGGCCCUUUACACUCUUUCAAAAGGCACUGAGUGCCUGCUGCAUGCUAGGCCUGUUCUAGGCAGCAGGGACACAGAGGUGAGGGUGUAUGGGGUCAUGAUUUCAGGGAACUGACCUUUUAGAAAAAGGAGCCAGAGAGACCAUGAAUAAACAGGAAACACCAGAUGGUAAGGGUAAUGCGCCUGACUAGGCCAAUCUUCCACUCUAGGGCAGGAGAGUGUUAAAAUACGGUGAUGUGACAAUGACAGGUGAUUGCCUUAGAGGAUAUGACCAAAGCAAACCUCUCUGAUAAACCUCCCCUGAGAUCUGAAUGACAAAGACCUAGUUAUGUGAAAAUCAAGGGGAGCCAUGUGCUAGGCAAAGAGAAGAUCACAUGCAAAAAUCCAACGAGGGCAAUAAGUGUAGCUCCUCAAUUUCCUGGAUACCCCUCCAUCUGCCUAUCUCCUCCUCCAUCCUGCCCCCCCACAGAGUUAUGUGGGAGCUUGUCCACAGUUUGCUUCAGUUGAACAGGUGGAGUUCCUGCCUUAUUCAUCUAAGUAUCACCGGUGCUUAUCAAAAGUGCCUGGAAGGCACUGUGCAAAUGUCAAAUAAAUGAACGCACGGAUGAAAGAAAUGAUUCGUGAAUUCAGUAAUUCAUCCGACUAACAUUUACUGAGCACGUGCUUCAUGCCAGGUUCCAUUUAGGAGGCUGAGGAUAGAGAUGGACAAGGCGGAAUUUAUCCCUGACUCCAGGGAACUUGGGUUUAAAGAGAGAAGACAGUGUAUUAAAGCAGAUAAUUUUAGAAGGGAGCGACCCUGUGAGGGGAAUCAAAACCAGGUCAGGCCAUGAGAAGAGGACUGGCCGUUACUUUAGGUCGUGUGGUCAAGGGAAAGCAUGUCUGAGGAGGUGAGCCUGGGGACGCCGGAGCCGGUCCCGACGACUGGAGGUGGCACCCUAGGGGGAAGAGGUAGGUGGACGGGUGGUGAGCACGCGGGCGGCAGCGUGCACCCAGGGGAGCAGC
RNAcentral lists this long non-coding RNA (1483 nucleotides) under Canis lupus familiaris (dog). Its description in RNAcentral is "lncRNA (ENSCAFG00845030619.1)". Lineage: Eukaryota; Metazoa; Chordata; Mammalia; Carnivora; Canidae. The record is from RNAcentral.